GAGCGAGAUGUUAGCGCAUGAACCUUCGGGGGAUUAUGCUAACGGAAAGCGGCGGACGGGUGAGUAACGCGUAGGCAACCUGCCCCUGACAGAGGGAUAGCCAUUGGAAACGAUGAUUAAAACCUCAUGACACCGUAGAAGCACAUGCUUCAUCGGUCAAAGAUUUAUCGGUCAGGGAUGGGCCUGCGUCUGAUUAACUAGUUGGUGAGGUAACGGCUCACCAAGGUGACGAUCAGUAGCCGACCUGAGAGGGUGAUCGGCCACAUUGGAACUGAGACACGGUCCAAACUUCUACGGAAGGCAGCAGUAGGGAAUCUUGCACAAUGGGCGAAAGCCUGAUGCAGCAACGCCGCGUGAAGGAUGAAGGCCUUCGGGUUGUAAACUUCUGUUCUAAGGGAAGAAACGAAUGACGGUACCUUAGGAGCAAGCCCCGGCUAACUACGUGCCAGCAGCCGCGGUAAUACGUAGGGGGCAAGCGUUAUCCGGAAUUAUUGGGCGUAAAGAGUGCGUAGGUGGUUACCUAAGCGCAAGGUUUAAUUUAGAGGCUCAACCUCUACUUGCCUUGCGAACUGGGCUACUUGAGUGCAGGAGGGGAAAGCGGAAUUCCUAGUGUAGCGGUGAAAUGCGUAGAUAUUAGGAGGAACACCAGCGGCGAAGGCGGCUUUCUGGACUGUAACUGACACUGAGGCACGAAAGCGUGGGU
RNAcentral lists this ribosomal RNA (703 nucleotides) under uncultured Clostridium sp. Its description in RNAcentral is "bacterial SSU rRNA". It matches the Rfam family "Bacterial small subunit ribosomal RNA", at positions 64 to 766 of the family's 1533-position model. Lineage: Bacteria; Bacillati; Bacillota; Clostridia; Eubacteriales; Clostridiaceae. The record is from RNAcentral.